UAUUCCCACUGUGGACUUCUGGAUUCCUGUAGACAUUACCUUUGAUUCGUUUCCAUGGUGCUAAAGGAGGGAGACAGAAGGGGUGAAAAGAGGAUAUACAGAUUUCACUACAAGGUGCAAGAGAAAAUCAUACUGGAAAGGACAGCACAGCUGGCAUAAGAGUGGCAGUAGCAGGAUUCCAAACAUGUUAGACAACAGCACUUCAUCUGGGAGAAACUUAAAAGCUUCACAAGUGUACAACUGCUCAGAGAUAGAGGCAACACAGCCCCAGAAGAGGAAGAAAAAUUACAGGAAAUCCUGACCUACGUUUGUCCAAAAUCAUCAAACAAUCUGGGUAACUGGUAUUCACUCAUAUGAUAGCUUUUAAGUUGUCAGCAAUUCUUGGCAAAUA
Panthera uncia (snow leopard) is the source of this 391-nucleotide long non-coding RNA. RefSeq lists it as uncharacterized. Lineage: Eukaryota; Metazoa; Chordata; Mammalia; Carnivora; Felidae. The transcript has 3 exons. The record is from RefSeq and is a predicted model, not a curated record.